AGUAGUAAUGGGCUUAAAUUGAAGCAAGAGAGAUUUAGGUUAGACAUUAGGAAAAACAUUGUAACUGUACGGAUAGCUAAGCGUUAUAACAAAAUAGCUAGGGAGGAUAUGGAAUCUCCACCAUUGAAAGAUUUUAGGAACAGGUUAGACAAACACCUGUCAGGGAUGGUUUAGAUCAGUGGUGUCUC
Dermochelys coriacea (leatherback sea turtle) is the source of this 188-nucleotide long non-coding RNA. RefSeq lists it as uncharacterized. Lineage: Eukaryota; Metazoa; Chordata; Testudines; Dermochelyidae. The transcript has 3 exons. The record is from RefSeq and is a predicted model, not a curated record.